Molecule: transfer RNA, 93 nt
Filed under: Longimycelium tulufanense
Lineage: Bacteria; Bacillati; Actinomycetota; Actinomycetes; Pseudonocardiales; Pseudonocardiaceae
Description: tRNA-Ala
Source: RNAcentral
ACGGUGGCCGGCCGGCCGGGCCGCGGCGCCCGCGGCGCGGGUGGGACGGCAAGGGAUUCGGCAUGGUCGGCGCGCUCAGCCGCGUCACCGCCC